UUAAAGCCAUGCAUUGUAUGUUCAAAUAUACUAAGAAGUAGUGAUUCCAGAUGUAUGUAUUUUUUUCUCAAGCAGUUGUUCUACCUGCAAAAAGUGGAUGUGGUCAUCAGUACCAUAAAGCUGCUUCAAGCCCGACUCUUUUUUCUUCAGUUCGUCAAUCUCCUGUUCCAGACGCUCGAUCAGAGCCUCGGCUUGGUUGAACGCGGCCUUCUCGUUGAUACCGAUCAGCUUGGUCACCUCCGACCUCAUCCUCUCGAUGGAGCGAAUCAUGUCCUCGAACAUCUUCUGACUCUCCAACAUCGCUCUCUGGGCCGAGUUCUGCACAGGACACAGGGAAUGGGAACAAUCUGCAGAAUCUGGAGCCCUACAUGAUACAUUGAUGUUACCUUCAAUGAAUCCACCGCGGUCUUCAGCUCGUCCAGCUCCUUGACCCUCUCCUGGCAUUUUUGCCUGAUCUCAGCUGUGGAGAUUCCCAAGAGUUUCUGGAACAAAGGAGAAUGAUGCCAUGGAUGAUCAUACACCAUCAGACCAGGCGACAGAAGGAUCCUACCUGUUUCUCACUCCUCUCGGCCUCGGCGGAGACGAUGUCGUGUCCCUUGUGUUCACUGACCGUGCAGAUGGCACAGAUACACAUCUGGUCGGUCCGGCAGAAGAGCUCCAAUGACUUCUGGUGCUGCGGGCAGAUCUUCCUGUCCAGGUUCCCCAGCUCGUCUACCAACUUGUGCCUUUUAAAAGUGGCUGACUCGUAGUGAGGCUUCAGGUGCUUCUCGCAGUAAGACGCCAGACAGUUGAGACAGGACUUCACGGCCUUGAGUUUCUUCCCGGAGCAGAAGUCACACGGCACAUCGCUCGGCCCGGCGUAGCCGUUCCCCUGGGGCGUGUUGACGUUGACGUUGAGGUUGAAACCGCUCUUUUUGAUCUUCUCGGCCACCAUACUGAGUGUGGCGUUGGGGCGCAGCACGGGCCUCUGAGUGAAGGUGAUCUUGCACUGGGGGCAAAUGUAAAUCCCGGUGUAGUCUGCCUCGUUCCAGUACCCGCUGAUGCAGUCCAUGCAGAAGCUGUGGCCGCAUGGGAUAGCCACAGGAUCCCUCAGGAGGUUCACGCACAGGGUGCAGCUGAAGUAGUCCGGGGACGUGUGAUCAGCCAUUGUCAACUUUUCACGACAGAAAAAUGCCAGGAGCAGAGAGCGUAGAGUGGAGUCUGUGUGGGAGUCCGCCCUCCAGAGUUGUGUGGUACAGCCUGCCCGAGACAGGACCUACUUGUAUUUCUGAAUUCCAGAGGUUAUUGAUUGAAAGCAGACAAGGCCCGCCUCCUGAACUGGGAGUAUACGGGAGCCCUGCCCUGCUCAGAUAAGCAGGUUGAGCAAGGGUGGAGAGUAAGAGAGCGAGCGAGAGAGAGAGAGCGAGAGAGUCAUGUAGGAAGACAGGAAAGAGAGGAAACCGAAGGCCUCAGAAUGAAUGAAAUGUGAAAAGUUUGAAACGAGAAAAGAAAUACGCUGGACGGACGACGCCUCCGUUUCCGGUGCAGCUUACUUUUUCAAUUCCUCCAGCGGCUCAUCUCGAGGAUGACUGGUGCACGCUUCUCCGCAGCUGUAUUUCCACCUAUUGUUGUCAGACAGAAUCGCCAUUGUCUGAAACCGGUUACAGUCCAACAAACACAGAUGGGAGGCCGAGGUAGCGCUGGAAUUUAAGGGACCACCCAAUAAACAAACACGUUGCGAGCCCGAGCGUUUUCAGGAAAAACAUCCCCUUUCCAUCUCCUGGAAUGAAAGAUCUUCCAUGUUGUCUUUGGUAAUUCCAGCAUUUGAUCAUUUUAGCAACUUUAAUGCAAUUUAUAUCAAAGUACCCCCGCCCCCCUUCAUUUUUGGACGUUUUAUUAUAUUAUAAAUAUAUUAUAUUUAUAUAAAUAUGCCAGCCGGCAACUCCUGGGAAGGUUAACCACUGUUCUGUGUUUUCACCGUUUGUAGAUAAUGGCUCUCACUGUGGUUGGCUGGAGUCCUAAAGCUUUAGAAAUACCUUUAGAAGCUUUUCCAGACUGUUAAGUUAUGUUUUAACGGGGGGAAAUGACUUUUUCACACAGGGCCACGUAAAUUUUGAUUUUUUUCCUCUGUUAAUCAUAAAUAUGUAAUAUAAUAUAAUGUAUAUAUAUAUAUAUAUAUAUAUACAUACACAGUAUUUUCAGGUUGGCUGUUCCUGCGACUUAUACUCCAGAGUGUCUUAUAAAUGAAUAUAAAAAAAUAAGAAAAUUAAUGUUAAAACUAAAAUCAAAUGUGAAAUAUAAAUGUUAAAAUAAAUAUUAAAUAUAUAUAAAUAAUAUAAUGUAAUAUAAUAUAAUGUAAUAUAUCUAUAUAUAUCACAUUUUCCAGACUAUAAGUCGCACUUUUUUCAUAGGCUGGCUGUUCCUGCGACUUAUACUCCAGAGUGACUUAUAAAUGA
Molecule: non-coding RNA, 2435 nt
Organism: Doryrhamphus excisus (bluestripe pipefish)
Lineage: Eukaryota; Metazoa; Chordata; Actinopteri; Syngnathiformes; Syngnathidae
Source: RefSeq, a predicted model, not a curated record